UUUUUUAAUUGGGGUAGCCCCCAAAAUAUUGGGACAUAUAAAAAAAGACAACUCUAUUCCGCAGAGUAGCUGUUGACAUUAUAGUUGCGUGGGAACUUUGUUGAUUCUAGAGAACCUCGGGCCAAUCGCACAUCCCCGUCAUCCAUAUCAACUUUCGAUGCCAGUUUCUGAGCCUACCAUGGUGACCACGGGUAACAGGGAAUCAGGGUUCCAUUCCGUACAGGGACCCUGAGAAAUGGCUACCACAUGCAAGGAAGGCAGCAGGCGUGCAAAUGACCCACUCCCGACGCGGGAAGGUAGUGACGACAAAUAACAAUACAGGACUCUUUAGAGGCCCUGUAAUUGUAAUGAGUCCACUUGAAAUCCUUUAACUCUGAUCAAGUGGAGGGAAGUCUGGUGCAGAGCCACUGACCCGUGCGUGCUGCAGCUGAAACUCCACUA
Molecule: non-coding RNA, 441 nt
Organism: Pelobates cultripes (western spadefoot toad)
Lineage: Eukaryota; Metazoa; Chordata; Amphibia; Anura; Pelobatidae
Source: the annotation of a GenBank genome assembly